This 711-nucleotide ribosomal RNA is filed under the name uncultured bacterium. Its description in RNAcentral is "bacterial SSU rRNA". It matches the Rfam family "Bacterial small subunit ribosomal RNA", at positions 1 to 700 of the family's 1533-position model. The record is from RNAcentral.
AAUUCGAUUAGUUUGAUCAUGGCUCAGGACGAACGCUGGCGGCGUGCUUAACACAUGCAAGUCGAGGGCACUUUGGUAGCAAUACUGGAGUGACCGGCGAACGGGUGCGUAACACGUGAGCGACCUUGCCUCGUGGUGGGGGGUAGCCGGCCCAACGGCCGGGUAAUACCGCAUAGGGUAGUUCUUUCGCAUGGGAGAACUAGCAAAGCCCUGGAGCGAUCCAGUGGCGCCACAGGGGGGGCUCGCGGCCUAUCAGCUAGUUGGGGGGGUAAUGGCCCACCAAGGCGACGACGGGUAGCUGGUCUGAGAGGAUGGCCAGCCACAUUGGGACUGAGAGACGGCCCAGACUCCUACGGGAGGCAGCAGUGGGGAAUCUUGCGCAAUGGCCGCAAGGCUGACGCAGCGACGCCGCGUGGGGGAGGAAGGCCUUCGGGUUGUAAACCCCUGUUGCCCGGGACGAAUGUGCUUUUUAGAGAGCAUUGACGGUACCGGGUGAGGAAGCACCGGCUAACUCCGUGCCAGCAGCCGCGGUAAUACGGAGGGUGCAAGCGUUGUCCGGAAUCACUGGGCGUAAAAGGCGCGUAGGCGGCUCAUAAAGGCUGUGGUGAAAGUUCGGGGCUCAACCUCGAAUCGGCCGUGGCGACUUGUGGGCUGGAGCACUGUAGAGGCGGGUGGAAUUCCGGGUGUAGCGGUGGAAUGCGUAGAGAUCCG